GCGAGCAGUGGUGUGUCUCCUGCUACUUUCUGAAUAACAAGGAACUAAUAUUCAUGGAGACUUCGCUCAGUGCCUGGCUCUGUGCUGAGAGUCUCAGGAGAUCCACCAAUGGCCCUGUGAUUGUCAACAUUUUUAUAGAUGAGAAAACUGAGGCUCAGAGAAGUAGCAUGCUUAUCUGACUUAUCACCUUCAUGAACCGCAUCCACACUCAGCAAAUAAUUCCACAAGGUCAAAGAACACAACUGUGUUGUUCACUAUUGUAUUCCAAGAAUGGGAGCAUUAGCAAAGAGCAAAGUGAGCAAAUGCAGUGUUAUAGGAUAAUCACCAUCAUCAUUACUGUCAUCAUCGCCAUCGCAUCAUCAUGCCUGGAAAGAUUUGGCACAGAUAUGCCCUACAUUUCAGGGUGGUAAAGAAAAUAUGGAACUGAAGACUGCACACUGUAGAAACUGGACGAGCCACAAGCAAAGCCACCCAGGACACCAGGUGGAGGUCUCCACAAGCAUGCCACCUCCAGCUUGGGAAAUCAGGGAGUGAGUAUCUCUUGGGUGGUAGGAGUAGCUGGAAAACAAACCUCUCAUUGGAAGGUCCCUAAAGAAGCCACCAGCAGCACCUUGAUGGUGGCCCUCCUUCUGCCUUGCUGAACUGACCAUGAUGCCUAAGCCCAGAUGGCCUUUGAUGAGACAGCUGGAGCCUUGGGGUUGACUGCUGUGAGUUUAGCAAGAUUCUGUCUUCUCCAGCCUCUGCCAGCUUUGGGUACACAGGUCAAAUUCAAUUUUCAUAAGCACUUAUGGAGGCUUCCUUGGGUAUUUCCCCAGCUUGGUGCUUGGGACACAGAAAGAUUAGGCCUGGGCACUGGUUUCAACCUCUUGUGCAAGGUAUGAACACAGAUAAAUAUAAUACAGGCAGUGUCAUGUAGACACCAUGGGAAGGGUAUAAACAAAGAUGUGUCUUCCAUGUGCCUGGCACAGGGUCUGGAACACAGUGUACUCUCAAUAAAACUGUAAUAAAGAAUGAAUAAGUGACAUGGUGAGUGCAUGGAUGAAAUGGAGUAAGCAAACAAAUCCAUUGAACACUGUGAUUCACCAUAAGGGUAGCAGAUGCUUCAAGAAUGAAGAGGUGAGCAGUCCCAGCAGUCCUUACACUAUGUUCGGUGUUAGAGCAGGGUUGGAUCGAAGCACUGUGUGCUGUGGAUUCAGUGCACUUGGACAGAGGCAUCAGCUUGCAGGAAAGCUCACAAUGCCCAGCACAUUAGCCUUGAAGAAGUGGCCCUAUGCUUUCUUUGACAUGCCUGUAAGAACAAAGACCACGUGUGUAAGAAAAUGUGUUUAUAGUGCUGUAGAUGAUGGGGGAGAAUACAAGCCAUAUCUCAUGAUGAAGAACUACACAUAAUCUAUGCCCAGGUUAUUCAGUGAUGUUUAGAUGUUUAUGACUAUACAUACUUCAGAACUAUUGAAACACAUUUAUUGUAUAAGUUUGAAACUGUAGUCCAGCAGUUACAAACUCAAAUGCCUACAGGGAUUAGCAAGUAUUUCAAAUGAAAGGCAUGACUAGGGCAGGACAAUAGGAAGUAGUGAGGCUUGCAGGAAACUGGCAAACUCUAGUUUCUCUAAAGAGAGCAACUACUGCUUCUGCUAGCUGAUGCUGAGUAGGGAUGAUAAUUUAUCAGGUCUUAUUUUUCACAAGAGGGGGAAUCUGGAUUUUUCUGUUAACUUUCUCCAUUUCUAUCAUACCUUGUCAACCCAACAAAACACAUCCAUAGGCCAAAUUUUGCCCGUGGGCUGCCUGUUGGCCACCUUUACCUUACUUAUUGCCCUUUUUACUCUGGCACCGCACCUGACAAGGCGCGAAUUUGGGAAAUUUGAUGGUUGUUUGGGUAAUGAGAAUGGGGAUGAUGCUCCUUAAAAAAAAAAAAAAGAAAAAAGAAAUCAAUGGAUGGGGACAGAGUUGGAUUUCAGGGGGAGGGGAAGGUGAAGACAUGGUGCCUUUUAAAGGAGAUAUGAUGGUGAAAGAAAGAGAGAGGGUCAUGGUUUGGGUUUGAGCUAGAGGCAAUCAAAUGAGUUUAGGGAGUGUUAGAGAGAUGGUAAGAGAUCAUCAUCCUCCAUCCGCAUUUACAGAAAACUGACCAUGAGCAACAUGGUGGACAUGAGUGGACAUGAGAUUGGGAAGGGGACAGGGCAAUGAUUGAUGGAUCAAUACCCAGUGGAACUAAGAGGUUACUGCCAAGGACACAUGGAGAGAGUUUUGCUUAACAAGCAGAAAGAACACUUCUCCAAGUCUGAAAAGAGGAGGAAUAGGAAGAAAGAGCUGU
Molecule: long non-coding RNA, 2308 nt
Organism: Pongo pygmaeus (Bornean orangutan)
Lineage: Eukaryota; Metazoa; Chordata; Mammalia; Primates; Hominidae
Exons: 3
Source: RefSeq, a predicted model, not a curated record